This 460-nucleotide ribosomal RNA is filed under the name uncultured bacterium. Its description in RNAcentral is "partial 16S ribosomal RNA". It matches the Rfam family "Bacterial small subunit ribosomal RNA", at positions 338 to 795 of the family's 1533-position model. The record is from RNAcentral.
CCUACGGGUGGCAGCAGUGAGGAAUAUUGGUCAAUGGACGAGAGUCUGAACCAGCCAAGUAGCGUGAAGGAUGACUGCCCUAUGGGUUGUAAACUUCUUUUAUAUGGGAAUAAAACGUUCCACGUGUGGGAUUUUGUAUGUACCAUAUGAAUAAGGAUCGGCUAACUCCGUGCCAGCAGCCGCGGUAAUACGGAGGAUCCGAGCGUUAUCCGGAUUUAUUGGGUUUAAAGGGAGCGUAGGUGGAUUGUUAAGUCAGUUGUGAAAGUUUGCGGCUCAACCGUAAAAUUGCAGUUGAAACUGGCAGUCUUGAGUACAGUAGAGGUGGGCGGAAUUCGUGGUGUGGCGGUGAAAUGCUUAGAUAUCACGAAGAACUCCGAUUGCGAAGGCAGUUCACUGGACUGCAACUGACACUGGGGCUCGAAAGUGUGGGUAUCAAACAGGAUUAGAUACCCUUGUAGUC